This 315-nucleotide ribosomal RNA is filed under the name Kronides incumbens. RNAcentral's name for it is "partial 12S small subunit ribosomal RNA". Lineage: Eukaryota; Metazoa; Arthropoda; Insecta; Hemiptera; Membracidae. The record is from RNAcentral.
CUUGAAUAAAAGUAGUUAAGUUCUCCAUAACUCAAAGAAUUUGGCGGUUAAUAAUAAUUUUAGAGGAACCUGUAGAUUAAUUGAUAAACCACGAUAGUUAAUACCUUUUUUUAAUUUGUAUAUCGCUAUAAGUUAGGAAUGUUUUUUGAGAAUAAAUUUUCUUUUAGAUUUUUCUUUAAUAUUAGGUCAAGGUGCAGUUUUAAAUAGGUUUUUAUGGGUUAUUUAAGUUUUUAUUUAAAUAUAAAUUUUACUUCGUUGUGAGUAUAUUAUGUAGGAUUUGAGAGUAAUUUAAAUUAAUUAAUUUUUUUGAAUAUU